UCCAAAGCUAACUAUGAGUACAAUAUUCUCUUAACAGUUUUAUCAGUGUUCUAUUUGAGAACAAACCUCUAGUUCCAGUGUUUUAAUUAAUCUUGUAUAUUCCAUGAGACCAAGUGUUUUAUUUUGAAUUGUCUUCUAAUCCUUUUAAAAUUCCUGUCCUUGUUAUAUUUUCAGAUGUAAGUCUGAGAGGAGCUCUUACCAGAGCCUAGAGGUAGGUAUAGAAGGAAGACUUCAUCUAGAAACAUUGUUGAAGAGACACCGUAAGACUUUUGGCACCAGAAUCAUUAUUAACACAUGGAGCAACAUGACCGUAAUGGAAAAAUACUUCCUCAAAACAGGGACCCGUGGGCAUCCAGCGCUCUUAAUUCCUGCUGUGUUUCCUUCCAGAUCAGCUGUACACCACUGACACAGUGAAACUUUCAUUGAUGAAGAGGAUUUUCACAUGUAUACAGAAUAGACAGUGCUCAGACAGUAGACAUAGCUUAGGAAGUGGAGAAAGCAUAUAGCAUAGAAAAAUGAAAAUGGAAAUAAUAUUUUUAAAGCAACAUGCAAAGUUUGUUUCUAUAUAGUUUUCUUCAACUGUUUGUCACCAACAAAUCUGAAAUUAAUCAAGUAACUGCUAUACACUGAUUAGAAAGGAGAGUGAUCAAUGAUGAAUGGAAAACAGAUACCAGGAACUCAAAAUGAUUUAAAUACACUGAAAUGGAGUGAAAUAUACAUGAUGAAUUAGUAAAAGUUUUAUAUGCAUAUCCACACAAUGCAGAGUUUGACUGUAUUUUCACUGAUGUUUCCAUCAUAUUUUUAAUUUAAAAAAAUAUUUUUUUUUACUUUCUUGUUCUUAAAAUCUAGUGGAAUUAUUGUGGCAUACAUUCUCCUGUGUAUGGAAUACUCUAUCUGUCUUACUUUCAACUUGACUUGUCAGUGGUUAAUACGUCCUUGAUGUGAAUAGGAAAUUGGUCAGUUUAAAUGGACUGAACAUACUUCAAUUCUGGAAGUCUUGCAGUAACCUAUGAACUCACUUUAUUCUAUGGAAGGAGUUACCAGAUCACUCUGUCCAUCUCAACACAUGACUUAUAUUUGACAUGGCAUUCGAUGUUAUUUGUUAUU
RNAcentral lists this long non-coding RNA (1107 nucleotides) under Anas platyrhynchos platyrhynchos (common mallard). RNAcentral's name for it is "lncRNA (ENSAPLG00000027370.1)". The record is from RNAcentral. Lineage: Eukaryota; Metazoa; Chordata; Aves; Anseriformes; Anatidae.